This 243-nucleotide long non-coding RNA is filed under the name Homo sapiens (human). RNAcentral describes it as "HSALNT0233076". The record is from RNAcentral. Lineage: Eukaryota; Metazoa; Chordata; Mammalia; Primates; Hominidae.
UUGGGGGAUGAGGCAGCUGUUGGAGAGGGAUGGGUCAAGGGAUGGAGGGUAGCACUGUGAGCUGAAAUAGGUGAAUUGGGAGGGAUGCUGGCUAGAGAAGAGGAGGCAAGAAGAGAUUGAAGGGAAAUCUCAAGGGGCUCCAGAGACUACUACGAUGGUGCAAAGUCACAGAAGCCCUGGGAAAAGCAGGUAGAAUGGAGUUGCCAUGACAUUGAGCCUCACCUAGAUGCCAGGUAGGUAACA